Macaca mulatta (Rhesus monkey) is the source of this 148-nucleotide unclassified non-coding RNA. It matches the Rfam family "Metazoan signal recognition particle RNA". From Rfam's summary of the family: The signal recognition particle (SRP) is a universally conserved ribonucleoprotein. It is involved in the co-translational targeting of proteins to membranes. NCBI's taxonomy places the organism in Eukaryota, Metazoa, Chordata, Mammalia, Primates, Cercopithecidae. The record is from Ensembl.
GCCUGGUGCGGUGGUGGGCACCAGUAAUCCUAGGUACUUGGGAGGCUGAGGCAGGAGAAUUGCUUGAACCUGGGAGGCAGAGGUUGCAGUGAGCUGAGAUCGUGCCACUGCACUUCAGCCUGGGUGAUAGAGUGAGAUUCUGUCUCAA